Molecule: small nucleolar RNA, 94 nt
Filed under: Hirsutella minnesotensis 3608
Lineage: Eukaryota; Fungi; Ascomycota; Sordariomycetes; Hypocreales; Ophiocordycipitaceae
Description: A. fumigatus snoRNA Afu_190
Rfam family: A. fumigatus snoRNA Afu_190
Source: Rfam by way of RNAcentral
AUAUGAUGAGACACAAGCUGGCACCAGUCAUAGAGCGACUUGUACUCCCUUUCGUUGAUGACCAAAUUGCUAUGGUCUAAAGACCGACUCUGAU